GUCGAGUUGGCAGCUGGUAUCAAGUGGAGUUCCCCAGGAGUUGGUUCUGGGGCCUGUUUUGUUCAAUGUCUUCAUCAUUAACCUGGAAUAUGGCAUAGACUGAAGCCCCACAGCAAGGCUG
Gavialis gangeticus (Gharial) is the source of this 121-nucleotide long non-coding RNA. RefSeq lists it as uncharacterized. NCBI's taxonomy places the organism in Eukaryota, Metazoa, Chordata, Crocodylia, Gavialidae. The record is from RefSeq and is a predicted model, not a curated record. The transcript has 3 exons.